CCGAGGCUCCGCCCCGGCCCUUAAAGGCGGCGCGCGCGGGCGGACUGGCGCGAGCCGAGCGGGCGUAGCUGCCAGGGCCCGCGGCUAUGCUGAGAUUCUGCGCCGGGCGCCUCGGCGCGCUCCGGGCCCUGCGCGGCCCGCGGGACGGCGCGCACCUGCUCGAGCGGGACCCGCGGAGGUCAUUUUCUUCUGAGAAAGUCACACCGAAGGACCGUUCUCUCCCCAACAAAUGCUGGAACCAGGACUUGAAACUCCUCUUUGAGCAGUUCAUGAAGAAAUGUGAAGACGGCUCUUGGGAGCGUCUGUCUUCAUUUGAUACUCAGCGUGAAGAGAGCUUCAGAACCUAUUUUCUUGACGCGAAGUUUAUGAAGGAAGAACAAACAUCACUUGCCCAGCUCUUCACCAGAAGCUUUCAGGAGGGCCUGGGUUUUGAAUAUGUGAUGUUCCACAAAGAGGCUGAGAAAAGGACGGUCUGCUUGUUUCAAGGAGGCCCUUACCUGCAAGGUGCCCCUGGGUUCCUACACGGAGGUGCCAUUGCCACCAUGAUCGAUGCGACUGUUGGUGCAUCGGCACUCAUGGCUGGAGGGAUUGUCAUGACCGCCAAUCUCAACAUCAAUUAUAAAAAACCUAUCCCCCUUUUGUCUACUGUUGUGAUUGAUAGCCAAGUUGAUAAAAUCGAAGGAAGGAAAAUAUUUGUUUCCUGUACUGUCCAGAGUGCUGAUGAGAAGACCCUCCACACGGAGGCAACAAGUUUAUUUAUAAAGCUGGACAUUGACAAAUUUUGAAAUAAAGGAACUUCUGAAGAAUUCCAUGCCAGUCCACCUAGGACUGUCCUCCUCUGGAAGAAGCUGCUGUUCCCAGCCCCGCCCUCCUCCACGUGGAGUCCCCUCAGGUGAAGCUACAACAGCCCAGGGCUCCAGAUGGAGGAAAAACAAUCACAUUGAGACUUUUGCCACAAAGUUGAAAAUGCCAGAAAAACAAAGCAAAGAAUCGAUCUGUGGGCACACAUCUGUAUAAAAAGCAGACGAUCAUCUAUGGAAAUGCUUUGGGUCCUCCCAUGACUUAGAAGGUCAUGCUGCAAGAGAGAUAAAGCAUGUAAGUACAGCAUUCGGCAUUUAUCAUGCCCCCAUGUGCCACCUAGGAAGUCUGUCAGGACAUUUAAGGUCCUAUAAUUCUGUAAAACUCCCUUAUGCAUUACAGAGACUUUGUAUUUAACAUUUCCACCUUAUAAGCUGUCCUCUGCAACCAACUGUCUUCAUUUUUAGCAUCUUACAUCCACAGAUUUUUUCAGACAAAGAGAUUAGAAGUUAUGGAUUAUACACGUGUAUAAGAAAAAAUGUAAGGACAAACUUACUGCAUAUUUGGGCCUAGCAUUUUACCUCUGGGGUCUGUCUCCUCAUUUUCCAGGUCUGUGGUCAUCUGGUUUGAUUCUUUCACAAGAGUCCUUGAGCUGGUGGUAGAUCUCAAUAGGAUGAGGCUCUCAUCCUAAUUAAAAAUCACAGUAAUGACUGAAUAGAAAAGAGGCUUUAUCAGAAUGAAAAUAACAUAGAUUGGGAUGUCAGCCAGCACAUAGCUUCAAAGAGAGGGAGCAGGGUCUGGGUUGAUGCCCAGCAGAGCUAGGGUGACCUAACAGUAGAUCCAUACUUUUGUCCUGUUUUCAGGAAACUCAUCUAUACUCAUGAGGAAGAAUAAGAAUAGCAAGUCUGUGAACCUGAGGAACACACAAAGAACAGACAUCACAUAUACAGAAAACAGUGGAGAAAUAUACUUAGGUGGCUGGUUUGGUAUAGUGAUGAAGAACAGAAGAGUAGAAGUCAGUAAGGACUAAUAUUAAGAUAAAAUUAAAAUGCCUUAAAAAUAAACUUAAAAUAAAUAAAUAUUUUUUAAGAAAUAAAAAAUGCGGAGCUGGAGUGAUAGCACAGCGGUUAGGGCAUUUGCCUUGCACAUGGCUGAACCGGGUCCAAUUCCCAGCAUCCAAUAUCGUCCCUCAAGCACCGCCAGGAGUAAUUCCUGAGUGCAGAGCCAGGAGUAAUCCCUGAGCAUCGCUGGGUGUGACCCAAAAAGCAAAAAAAAAAAGAAAAGAAAAGAAAGAAAAAAUGCUAUUGAGGAGUCUCCACUGACCAAUAUUGGUCUGAGGUCCUUAUCCAAAUAAAGUGCUCUGAAAUUUCUGCUUUUGCCCAUCCAAAACCAACAGAAUGCAAUAGGCAAUCACUGCCCAAGCUUCAAGACUUAGGCUAACCUGUUUACAGUUUCACUAAUCACAGGGAUUCUGUCUAAAUAUGAAGGAAGGGAAGAAAAAAGUUGCAGGAAGCCUUGUGAGGUUCCUGACAGGAUGCCCACUUAGGAAGGCCUGAUUCAUCAGAAGAAAUAGCGCAGUCGUUACAUGUUCCUGCCCCUGGUUUGGUCCCCGGAACCCCACCAAGAGUGAUUCCUGAGCACAAAGCCAGGAGCACCACCAGAUGUGGCCCAAAAACCAAGCAACAACAAAAAGUCUUAAUUCAUAUAUCUGUUCAUUUUAUAGGUCUGGUUUACUUAUUUAAAUGUAGAGUCCUUCCAGGAUUUAGAAAGAGGAAACUAUUAUUUUGUUGAAAUAUACAAAUCUGUGAAUGGUUACAUAUUGCAAUUCAUUUUAAAAUUAAUUUUUUUAAUGUUUGAAACAGAACCUAAACACUGUGAUCCACAACACAGUCGCUUCAGGCGCUCAAUACUCCAAACCCAAUCCCACCAUCAGCUCAACCCUCCCUCCACCAGUGUCCCCCGCCUGCCAUCCACCCUGCCAGCCCAUGCCACAGCACACACAAAACAAUUCACUUCAUGUUGCCUGCCUCAACAUACAUCUCACAGUGCUGCAAAGAGAGUCACCAGUCAGGAUACACUGAGCUGCCAGGCUCUAGCUGAGCCCUCCGUGUCAUCAUUGGACUCACUGGGCCCAGUGGCCACUGCACAGCCUCCUGUUCAAUCUGCUGUGGUCCCAGUGGGACUCCAGCAUGAGAAAUUUGGAGAUGGUAGAUGACCACACAGAGCCACACUCUCCAGCCCCUCCAGAAUUGGGGCAACUCAGUAGCGUGACAUCUCCAUCAGAUCGGUAGUGGAGCUGGGCUGUUUAUAUGCCAGAGGAAGUAGGGCAUGGAUGGGGUGCUGGGCCCCCCACCACCACUAGGGCAGGGACCCAUCCACCCCCAUCUGGAGAAGGCUCCAGAAAACUCAGCCUGCAGACCUGGCCUACCCGGAGUGACUCAGCAAUGGCUUCUUUCCUAAAUUUAUUAGGAUUUUUUUCCAAAAACAUAAUUAUUAAAUUCCUUGAAUAAGACUUUCACUGUCUUUGGCCAGAGUGAUUAUACAGUGGGUAGGGCAUUUGCCUUGCACAUGGCUGACCCGGCUUUGAUCCUCGGCAUCCCAUAUGGUCCCCCAAGCACCACCAGGAGUGAUCCUCCCCCGCAAAAAUUACCAUCUUAUUCGGCAGACUUCUAAUAAAUCCACGAAAAAGCAUAGAUAUGCAGGGGGAAGAACAGUGGUAAAGUUGCACGGUUCAAUCCCUGUCAAUGUCCAGGGCUACUCCUGGCUCUACACUCAGGAAUCACUCCUGGUGGUACUCUGGGAACUAUAUGGGAUGCCAAGGACCGAACCCAGGUCAGUCUCAGGCAAGGCAAGCACCCUUUCCAUUGUACUAUGUCUCUGACCCACCACCAGGUUUUGUUUUGUAUUUUUGUCUUUUUGGGUCACACCAAUGAUGUUCAGUGGUUACUCCUGGCUCUGCACUAAGGAAUUACUCCUGGUGGUGCUCAGGGGACCAUAUCAGAUGCCAGGGAUGGAACACAGGUCAGCUGCAUGCAAGGCAAAUGACCUACCCAUUGUACUAUUAUUCCAGCCAUACUACCAGACUUUAUUUUAAUUUUUUAUCUUACAAAGUAGUCCACAAUAUUUUAUUACAUUUAAUAUUUGAACACCAAUCCCACCACCAUUAUACCUUCCCACCAUCAUAUUUCAAAUGUUUCCACCCUGAAUCCCAACCCCUGCCCAAAGCAGAACCGAAAUAAUUUAUUUUGUAUUGUUUGCUAUGAAAAACCACUGAAAAUGCUCCCAAAAAGUUUCCUUAGAGGAAAGAGUGUGAAGAUUGUUGUAUUUCACCCAGGGGGGCAUUAAGCCCUUCAAUAAGAGAUUACUAACAUGUUGAGCCUUGUGUGCUAUAUACAUCUGUAAAAGAUUUCCCUCUAAGAUUUGUUGCCCUAUCUUUAAACCCCAUCAAAUGUGGUGCAGUAUUCUUGGAGUAUGGGUGGUGUGAGAUAUGAGUUGUCGCAUGGCCAUGAAUGCAGCCACAUGGUCCAGAAAUACAUUCACUUCUGGAUGAGACUCAGCCCAAGCAUGUGGCGAGCAGCUAUGAGCAUGGCGGCGGUUGAGUACUGGAGGUUUUCGGCUGCCAGGCUGGGUUCCUUGGAGAGGGGAGGGGUCUCACCCACCCCCUCUCCAGAGCAACUCAAAUGAAACAGCCUGGCACAGGGUCCAAUGGCAUGGUUAUGAUGUAUGUCGUGUCAUGCUCCCUUCCAGAAGAGAAGGACAACUCGACUCUGGGUGGUGACCGAUGACAAAAUUAUCUGGUGCCAGCCAGAGGUGGCUUAUGGUGUCACUGCUGAGUUGCUGGAAGCAAGGGGAUGUGGGUGAAGCAUCCGCACUCCUGGCUCCAUUGAACCCAGAGUUUUCAGUCACAAGUCCCACGUACCUGGGUUUUCUGCAGAUUCACUCAUGGAUGAGACUCGGCUUGAGCAUGUGGAGAGUGGCCAUGAGCAUGGCAGUGGUUGAUUCUGGAGGUUUUCAGCUACCAGCAGGGAGGAGUCUCACCUGCCCCCCUUCGGAGCACCCCAAAUGAAACAGCCUGGCAUGGGGUCCAUCGGCAUGGUAUGGCGUGUGUCGCCACUAGAUGUUUUUCUAAUUAAGAUGUUUUGUUUUGUUUUAAUUUUUUUUAAUUUUACAUGAAUCACCAUGAGGUACAGUUAUAGACUUACAAACUUUUGUUCUUACACUUCAGUUAUACAAUGAUAAAGUACCCAUCCCUCCACCAGUGCCCAUUCUCCACCACCAAUGAUCCCAGUAUCCCUCCCACCACCCCCGCCUCUUCCCCUUUUGCUCAUUCUCUCUCUCCUUUUGGGUGUUGUGAUUUGCAAUAUAAGUAUUGAGUGGCCAUCGUGUUCGGUCUAUAGCCCGUAUCUCCCAUCCUGAGCAGGUCCUCCAAGCACCAUUUACUUGAUGGUCCCUUCUCUAUCCCAACUGCCUUUUCCCCCAACAUCUGAGGCUGGCUUCUAAGCCAAGGAGCAAUCCUCCUGGUACACAGCCACCAGAUUUUUUAAAGAAUUUUUUUUCCCCAGUCACUUCCAGUCUUGUCAGUUUCCUGCGUCCUGGAUGUAUGUGGGUCUCUCAGCAACUUGAAGGCUGUUGGCUCCUCGUUUCCUGGUUCCACCAACAAGUGGAUAGUUCUUAUUGGCAGAGGCUCCAAGUCAGAAUGAAGGGACAGCUCGUAACUUUUUAGUUUUUUCUGUCCUCAGCUUCUGGUCUUGUGUGCUCCAUCUGGUCUCCCCUCUACUGCUCUGGGAGCUAGUCACUGGAGGAGUCUGAGUGUGAGGAGGGAAAAUGUGGGCGGUGGGGACCCUAACAGGUGUUGUUCUAGACAAAGCACAGGAACAGCCGCAUACAGAAGGGGGGCUUUAUUGGCAGUGGAACAACUUCGGAAGGAUGUCCAACAAAAUGGCUGGAGGGUAGCUUCAAAGAGAGAGUUGGGUUCCAGUAGAGGGGUCCCACGGAGGAAGAGAGACAGACAGCGUACACAUAUUCUAGUGCUUCUUCAGGAAACUCAAAUAGAUUCAUUCGUGAGGAAGAAUGGCAAGUCUGCACAAUUGAGGAACAUGCAUCACAUACAGAAAACGGCAGAAAAACAACCUGGGGUGGCGAGGAAGAUUGUGUAGUUAGCGUGGUAAUGAAGACCAAGGAGACUCGAGGUGGAAGUAAGUUCUCAGCUGUCUCCACUGGCCGCAGCUGUCCACCUCAUGGUCUGGAUCCUUGUCACCAUAAAUCUUUUGAAGGUUCCACUUUUGCCAGAGCCAAUAGAACGCAGAGGGGCAGCUUCUCCAAGAGAGGCCGUCACACCCUCCACACUACCAGCUUCUAUCAGUUCCACCUUUCUGUAACCCAGAGAAUCCUAAAUAUUUAGGGCAAAAGUUGCAGAAAGCUUUGACCCUGAGAUAAGCCCCCUUUUUUUUUUGGUUUUGUUUUUAGGGCUAUACCUGGCAGUGCUCAGGUCUUAUUCUUGGCUGUGUACUCAGGAAUUACUCCUGUAGGCUCAGGGACUAGAUGGGAUGCUGAGGAUUGAACCCAGUUGGCCAUGUGCAAGGUAGACACCCUACCCUUUGUACUAUAGCUCUAGCCCAAUCUCUCUUGUUUUUGUUUUGUUUUGUUUUGUUUUUUUGCUUUUUGGGUCACAUCCAGCGAUGCACAGGGGUUACUCCUGGCUUUGUACUCAGGAAUUAUUCCUGGCAGUGCUCAGGGGACCAUAUGGGAUGCUGGGAUUCGAACCCGGGUUGGCCGCUUGCAAGGCAAAUGCCCUACCCGCUAUGCUAUCGCUCCAGCCCCUAACCCAAUCUCUUUAAAAAAAAAAAAACAGUAUUUUCAUCUAUGCAGCAUUUUGUGGGGUUAGGGUUUUUUUGCUUAUUUAUUUGGAUGAUUUAUUUGGGUUUUGUGGGGGUUUUGCUUGUUUGGGGGCUACACCAGCAAGCCAAGAGUGGCUCCUGGUCACCACCAUGUGAGGUCCAAAAACCAAACAAUUUUUUUUCCUUUUUAAGCCAGAAAGUGAGAGUAGGGCACUUGCUUUGCAUGCAGCUGACCCUGGUUUGAUCCCUGGCACCACAUAUGAUCCCCAGCCCUGCCAGGAGUGAUCUCUGAGCACAAAGCCAGGGGUAACUCCUUUAGUACCAGUGGAUGUGGCCAAAACCUUUUUAAAAAUUCCUUUCUUAUAUUUGCAGCCCAAAAGACAGCUUUUUUUGCAAUAACUUUUCUCAAACCUCAAGACUGGAACAGCAUGAGAAGAAAUUUUCAACUCAUGGGACAGAAUAAAAUAGAAUAAAGUAGUCCUCAAGGUGACAGGUGACUAAAGCUGAGUUGCAAUUCUUUAACAACACAGAAUUAUAGAGUGAUUAUGAAAAUUCCAGAUGCUUGAACCCAUGGUCUGUUCAGCCACUUGUAGUCCUCCAGCCAAAAUUACAGUAUGAAACACAUAUAUGAACAAAACAUGGCACACCAGAUCCUGAAAAUAAGGCAACAAGAGAUAUCGGGUUAUGGCUGUGGCGGGAUGCAUGGGAGAUCCCAGGGGGCGGGGGGGUACCGGCCCCGCCCUCUGCCGAUAUUUAAGUGGUGCCAGCGAGGAAGGGUUUCUCUCUCUCAACCCUUCCUUCCCGGGCACAGCAUUGCGAUUGCCACUUUUUGAGCACAAAAUGGAGGUACCAGCCCGGCUGCAGUGGGACAUGCGGGAGAUCCCAGGGACAGGGGGUACCGGCCCCACCCUUUGCCGAUAUUUAAAUGCAGCAGCCACACGUGUGGGGCCUUGCCGCUGCUGCACGAGCACGAUCCCGGAGGCCACCUGAACUACUUUGGACACGAACAGCUAGCAGAAAUGCCUCCAGACUGUGAACUGAGCCACUGCCCCAUGUGGCGCCAGUGGGGAAGGGUUUCUCUCUGCAGGCUUCUCCAUCUUAUGAGCACCACAAAAGGGAAGUAAAAGCUUGCAGUGAUGCAAUUUCUGGCAGAAUUUUCCCUGGACUUUAUACAGAAAUCCAGACCUAAUAUCUCUUAAUUGUCAGCAAUGUGAAAUGGUUCGUUUUUAGCAGGUCUGACUGUGGGGGGAAAUGCCAAACAAUAAUAGUGAGUUUUUUGUUGAAAUAUUGAAGGUAAUCAAAGUAGCAGCCAUUUCUCUAGACUGUGAACUAAGCCAUAGCCCCAAGCCGGCCAAGGAUGAGAAAUAUCCUUCUUUCUCAGUUUUUUUCCCUUGUCGGGUGGUGUGGCAUCAGCCAUAUUAUGAGGACUAUUAAGCAGGCAUGAACUUGGUGGUGCAGGAAGGAGGGAAAAAAAUGAGUUAUGUACUUGGAACAGCAGGACUUCAUAUCUCUUCAUUCUCAGCAAUGGAAAACUAAUUAUCAAAUGCUUCCUUGGCAGUAGGGCUGUCUUUUUUGGGGGGAAACUCCAACAACAAUAGUGAGUUUUGUGUUGAAAUAUGGAAUGUAAUCAAGGUAAAGAGAAAAUGAAGUGAAAUUUAUCAGUU
Molecule: RNA transcript, 8299 nt
Organism: Sorex araneus (European shrew)
Lineage: Eukaryota; Metazoa; Chordata; Mammalia; Eulipotyphla; Soricidae
Gene: THEM4
Gene name: thioesterase superfamily member 4
Exons: 7
Source: RefSeq, a predicted model, not a curated record